AGCGAACGCUGGCGGCAGGCCUAACACAUGCAAGUCGAACGAACUCUUCGGAGUUAGUGGCGGACGGGUGAGUAACACGUGGGAACGUGCCUUUUGGUUCGGAAUAACUCAGGGAAACUUGUGCUAAUACCGAAUGUGCCCUUCGGGGGAAAGAUUUAUCGCCAUUAGAGCGGGCCACGUCUGAUUAGCUAGUUGUUGAGGUAACGGCUCACCAAGGCGACGAUCAGUAGCUGGUCUGAGAGGAUGAACAGCCAAACUGGGACUGAGACACGGCCCAGACUCCUACGGGAGGCAGCAGUGGGGAAUCUUGCGGAAUGGGCGAAAGCCUGACGCAGCCAUGCCGCGUGAAUGAUGAAGGUCUUAGGAUUGUAAAAUUCUUUCACCGGGGACGAUAAUGACGGUACCCGGAGAAGAAGCCCCGGCUAACUUCGUG
RNAcentral lists this ribosomal RNA (433 nucleotides) under uncultured bacterium. Its description in RNAcentral is "partial 16S ribosomal RNA". It matches the Rfam family "Bacterial small subunit ribosomal RNA", at positions 29 to 507 of the family's 1533-position model. The record is from RNAcentral.